UAAUUGGAGAGAAACCCACAGAGCGGUAAAAAUGGCGGAUUUGAAGCAGUCUGUUUGUGCAGUUUGUUUGGAAUAAAAAGGCGAAUAUUCAAAAUCGUUAUCAAAAGUAUAACCAUCUAUAGCAAAUAAGAUCAAAGAGUAUAUUUGGCCUGAGUACAAUAAAGAUUUCAUUGUUUGCCCUGACGUAAUAUGUUCAAAUUGUAGAAGAAACAUAUUUUUGCUGGAGAAGGGAUCAAGUAUUUAUCUGUCAAACUGGAUGAAUAAAGUAUUUCAAGUACAGAGUUUAUUAAAUUCAAAUGAUAAAUACAUAAAUUAUUAAGAAAUAAUUUUUUAUAAAGUAUAUGUUUCUGAAUUAGAUUGACAGGCCCAGAAUAAGACGCAGUACUGAACUUAGUGAUAUUGUUUAACCAUCUCGUGGUAAAACACUAGCUGUAGGAUCUCCAAAAGAAAAUAUAUGUAGUUGCUGCUUUUCUCUCCUUGCAAGAGGAGGUCAUAGCAAUUGUAGUUCUGGUCAGGCUGUUUUAAACCUAAUUAAUUUGUCAGAAAACCUUGAUUCCACAUCGUGUGAACAAGUUGUUUCAGACAUUAUUAAAAACAAGAUGAAGCGAGAAGGCAUAGAGAGAGGGCAAUCCUUUAAAAUAUCUACAGGUGGGAAUCCAUUAACUUUAACCGUUGGAACUAAAAAAAAAUAAAUCUUAUAAAAAGUCUUUCAAUCAGAUAUCAUUCCAAACAGUAAUGGAGUUAACUUCUAUACUGGAAUUAACAAUAAAUCAAACAAAUCAAGUCUGCGUAAGUAUCUAGGGUCGUCUACUGAUAUUGAGAACAAUGUAGUUAGCAUGAUGACAUCAUUGCAACAAGAAGUUGAGUCUGAGUAUAAAAUAGAGCAAGAUUUUAUUUGGAAUG
Non-coding RNA from Hydra vulgaris (swiftwater hydra), 903 nucleotides. The record is from RefSeq and is a predicted model, not a curated record. Lineage: Eukaryota; Metazoa; Cnidaria; Hydrozoa; Anthoathecata; Hydridae.